CCGCCGGGGCGGAGCCAGCGCGGGAGCCGGUCCCGACGCCGGAGACCCCCGCCCCCGCGCGGGCGAUGCCGAGCGGCGCGGCGAGCGGCGGGGCUGGGGCGGGGCGCGCAGAGGAGCGGGCCGCGUCUCGGAGGCGGCCGAAGCGCGGCCCCGCCAUGGGCUUCUUGCACCAGCUGCAGCUGCUGCUCUGGAAGAACGUGACGCUGAAGCGCCGGAGCCCGGUGAGCGACCCUGCGCGCCGCGGGCCUGUCGGGAGUCGGAGGCCGCGCGCACCGUGGCCAGCGGCGCGCUCCCCGCGCGCACGUGCGGCCGGCGGGACGGGCGCGCGCAGACCCCGGACGGAGCGGGCGGCGGGCGGGCGUCCUUUCCCAGCCGUGCCCCGCCUGCCCGCCCCUGCCGCGCUGCGGCCUCCGGGGAAGGGACUCGACCGAGCCCAGUCCGCCGCCCGCGCCCGUUGACAUUCACGGUGCUCGGCUGAGUCACGGGACGGGCGCCCUCCGCAGCGCGCUCUUCGCUCUCCCGGGCCAGCUGCGGGGGUGGGGGUGGGGGCGGCCCCAGGGACCCUGGGGUCGCGGGAGCCCCUGCUUCCCCGGACGGAGGGCUGGCUUGGGGGACUCGAUCCAGCUCAGAAGCUCUAUGGUCUCUGGGCCCAGGCCCCCUGGAACCCCUGCAGGGACCCUGUCCCUUCCCUCCCUACACCACUCCUCUGCCCUUGGGCAGGCACUCCUCCUCCUCCUCGUCCUCCUCCUCCUGGUCAUAAAGAAGAUAGAUCCGCCUCCUCCUCCUCCUCCUCGUCCUCCUCCACAUCCUCGUCUCCUCUACAUCCUCCUCCUCCUCCACAUCCUCCUCCUCGUCCUCCUCCUCCAUGUCCUCCUCCUCCUCCUCCUCCACACCCCGCGAUCACGUCCACUAGCCCUGGCUAGUGCUUUCUCACCACCGGGAAUGUCCUUGCUGUGCCACCCCCGGCCAGCCCAAGUCCCUGCACCCUUUUGUCCUUUGGGGCUAUCUUCCCUGAGGCUGAUCCACUCUCUGAUUCUCCCUUCCAGGCUCCUCUAGGGGCCAGGUCCUGCUGCUUGGAGCUAUGACCACCACGUUCCCCAGCUCUGCCCUGUGCCUGGGGCAGCCCAGGUCCUGAGGGUGCGGGGCACAGCCACUGUCAGGGACAGAAGCCCUGGUGAGAAGCAGGGCUGGGGCAGUAUGGAUGUCAUCAUGCUGGCCAUCACCGCCUCAGCCCUGGGCAGGGCAGGGGCGUCUCCUGCUGGCCUGCCUAGCCAGCAGCAGCACACACACCAGAGAAUCCUGGGCAGCUCGGGUUUCUGAACAAGCCCGGGGGAUUUUCCAGGAUGGGGCCCAGAAGGGGCUGGGGUCAGGACCCUGAGAAGGAAGCAUCCUCUUGCCUACUUGGGGCCUGGGAGGCUCCUGUCUCAUCUGGCCCUGGGACCCUUUGGGCCGACCAGCUCCUGCCUGGGUCCCUCCUUGAGAAGGGCUUCAAAGUGCACAAUGGGAACCCCGGGGCUGCGGACAGGGCAGGGUGGCCUUCAUCACCAUGGCCUGGCAGGAUUCCCCUGGGCACCUGGCCCUGGCAGGGAGCCAGGGUCAGGUACACUCCCUGCCCAGCGUGCCUGGGGCUGGCUGGCUGGGUCCUGUGGAUCAGGCCUGCAGCCCCAGGCGGCCUCUGGUGCAGCUUCUUCUGCCUCAGGUUCUGGGUCACUGGGGACAGCAGGGCGGGGCUCAGGGGGAGGGGCAUUGAGAUGUGGGCAUGCAUCAGUAUCAGCCUCGGGCUCUUGGCAAGAAGGACCCACUGGGGCUGGGAGCAGGAGCUAGAAUGAUGGCCCCUGCAUCCACUGGGGACCCCAAGGUUCAGGGCAGGAAGCAGUGGCUUGUGGGGCACCCGGCAAGCAGGUGAGAGGUGCCCACUGUCCUGUAUCCAGGAGUGGCCUCCACCUGUUAGGUUGGGCCUCCCCAAAAGCUCCCUGUGCCCCUGCCCCAUGGUGUUUGCAGGGGCUGGUUAGAGCACAUGGAGAUCCUUAGCCUGUGGCUACAGCGAACCAGAAAUUCUUUCUCCAGGGUGGCUGAGGGCUUGCCGAGCUCACAAUGUGGGGCUGGGGCUGGGGCUGGCCCGAUGCUGGGCAUGUUCCUGCCAGACCCCCACUUUCCCAGGAGGGUCUUGGGCUUCAGAGUUGGACCCUUGGGCUUGGCCAGCAGAGGUUUUGCCUGCAUGCUGGUGGCCUCGCUGAGGGGGAUGUGCCCUGCGGAAAGCCUGCCUGGUCUGGAGGGGAGGCACCCAGGGCCUGGGUGCCUUGCUUGCUCCCUCUUCCUAAGCUCUGUGCCUCAGUUUCUCAUCUGUGAGUGUGGCCUAUCCCCUCCCUGUUAGCUGGAUGUGGGUCUACGGUGGGGCCACAGGCUGCUCCUGGUGGGGGGACCAGGUCGCUGUCUCUAGGUUGCUGGGGUGGGAGGCAGAACUCCCCCCUCAGGUCUCAUCUGCUCUGCCCUUGACAAAGCAGGAGGGGAUGCAGGCCUGGCCAGGGCACCCAGGCCCCAGGGACUUCAUUGGGGCACCAGGGACAGGGAUUGGACCACCUUGCAGGGCUCCGGGUGGGGUGCCUAGGUCAGGUGUCCAGAUGGGGCUGAACCUGUGUUGCCUGCCUGUAACCAGAUGCCCCUCUGGCUGCCCGCCUGCCCAGCAGGCCUCUCCUCUCCCUCCCUGCAGCUCAGCUCGUGCGCGGCCGCUGCUAUAGCAACCAGGAGGCAGCCACGGCCUGUUGCUGCAGUUACGCGGUGGAGGUGCCCGGUGGCAGGUCGGGUGUGGGUGGGGCUGGCACCGUAGCUGUGACCCCAGCCUCUUACAUCGCCGCUUGCAUGCAGCCACCCUUGCUCUGUGUGUGUGUGUGUGGCAUGCGCCUCUCCCCAGCCCCAUGGGUGCCCAUGAUGUCUCCCUGGCCAGCCCUGGGCUAGAUCCAGGCUUGCGGAGGGGGUGUUUGGUGGAGGCUGGCACGGGCCGGGGUGGGUGUGGGGCGUGGACACACAGCAGGGUGUUCCACACCACAGAGCGCUAUUGUCAAAGCACAGUAAACAGGGCAGCAGCUGCCCCACCCCAGGGGACUGGGGGCCGGGCCAGAGUGCCGUGGGGGUGGGGGCUCUGAAGUCUGUUUUGUCGGGGAAGUGUGAGGAUGAAGGAAACCUGGGGCAUCUGAAAAGAGCUGGUCGGGGUGGGGGUUGGGGUACAUCCUCGCCUGCUCAGGGUGCUCCCCCAAAGAGCAGCUGGCCUGAGGUCCUCCUCCUCCUUCCACUCCUCCCCACCCCAGCUGGAGUAGGGGAGUGAGAACAAUGAAGUCCUUCCCUUUUCCAGGUGAAACAAGGGGAAGUGGGGCCCCUGGAGGCUCUGGCAUUUCUUUCCCAUACAGAGCAGGGCCCACCAGGGCUCACCUUGGUGCCAGGUGGUGGGAGCCAUCCUGGGAACACUGAGCAAAGGCCCCCAGCAGGCAGGGCUGCCACGCCCACCUGAGCCAUCUGGGGUGAGGGAGAGGGGCCAGGGCAGAAGGAGGUGCUUGGGGAACUGGGAGGUGUCAGAACCCUGCCCAGGUCUUCCUGGAGGCUCAGGUGGGCUAGAACCAGACCACCCCAGUGCCAUGCCGCGUCUCCCUAGGCCCUUGUGUGGGGGCAUAGUGGCGUGGCAAUGGUGGGGAGGAGGGCUGACCCCAGGGAGUGUGGGAGCUGCAGGUUGGCAGAGGCCACCUCCGAGAUCUGCCCAGAUGGUCCUGCAGGUGGGGAAGAAGAUGAGCUGGGCAGAUGCAUGGGUUAGCGUGGACUCAUGCUGGCGGAUUUGCCCCUGCUGGCCCUCAGUGUGGCAAGCAGAAUCUGGGCUGCAGGGCUGGAGACCUGAUCGCUUGGGCCAGACAGCGCUUGCCCUCUCGCCCUUUGUAAAGGCCCUGGAGGAGGGAGCUGCAACCUCCAUUGGCCCUGGAGAGCCUGUGUUGACCUCUGGCCCCUGGGGGAGCAUGCAGGGUCCAGGCUGGGCUGGCCCUUCGGGGGGGGGGGUGAGGGGGAGUGUCUGUCUAUCUGGCAGGGAGAGGAAGUCUUGGGUCUGUCCUGUCCAGCCCUGGGCAGGGGGCAUGGGAGGCCAGGCUGCCCUGCACAGGUGGCCUCACUCAGCCUGCCCUCUCUAGUGGGUCUUGGCCUUCGAGAUCUUCAUCCCUCUGGUCCUCUUUUUCAUCCUGCUGGGCCUUCGGCAGAAGAAACCGACCAUCUCUGUGAAGGAAGUCUGUAAGUGAGCGGCCGCCUCCUUCUUGCUGGCCCCAGGCGGCAGCCACAGGAUGGCCCUGCGGGGCCUCCUGGUACAGCUUGAGCAACUCCCCACCCCAGCCCCCGCCUGCAUUAACAGCCUGUCCCUGGCCAGCGGGGUCCUGCAGAGCCCCCUGCCCACUGUCAGGAACAGCUGGCUCUCGGUGGGGGUGGGGAGUGGGUAGUGAAGGGCCGGGCCACCUGGCCACAGUGGCUCAUGCA
This 4503-nucleotide long non-coding RNA is filed under the name Equus asinus (donkey). RNAcentral describes it as "lncRNA (ENSEASG00005038726.1)". The record is from RNAcentral. Lineage: Eukaryota; Metazoa; Chordata; Mammalia; Perissodactyla; Equidae.